AGUGAACGCUGGCGGUAGGCCUAACACAUGCAAGUCGAACGGCAGCACAGUAAGAGCUUGCUCUUACGGGUGGCGAGUGGCGGACGGGUGAGGAAUACAUCGGAAUCUACUUUUUCGUGGGGGAUAACGUAGGGAAACUUACGCUAAUACCGCAUACGACCUACGGGUGAAAGCAGGGGAGCUUCGGACCUUGCGCGAUUGAAUGAGCCGAUGUCGGAUUAGCUAGUUGGCGGGGUAAAGGCCCACCAAGGCGACGAUCCGUAGCUGGUCUGAGAGGAUGAUCGGCCACACUGGAACUGAGACACGGUCCAGACUCCUACGGGAGGCAGCAGUGGGGAAUAUUGGACAAUGGGCGAAAGCCUGAUCCAGCCAUACCGCGUGGGUGAAGAAGGCCUUCGGGUUGUAAAGCCCUUUUGUUGGGAAAGAAAAGCAGCAGGUUAAUACCCCGCUGUUCUGACGGUACCCAAAGAAUAAGCACCGGCUAACUUCGUG
RNAcentral lists this ribosomal RNA (492 nucleotides) under uncultured bacterium. RNAcentral describes it as "partial 16S ribosomal RNA". It matches the Rfam family "Bacterial small subunit ribosomal RNA", at positions 29 to 507 of the family's 1533-position model. The record is from RNAcentral.